RNAcentral lists this ribosomal RNA (229 nucleotides) under uncultured bacterium. RNAcentral describes it as "partial 16S ribosomal RNA". It matches the Rfam family "Bacterial small subunit ribosomal RNA", at positions 104 to 334 of the family's 1533-position model. The record is from RNAcentral.
CGGGGUGAGUAAUGUCUGGGAAACUGCCUGAUGGAGGGGGGUAACUACUGGAAACGGUAGCUAAUACCGCAUAACGUCGCAAGACCGAAGAGGGGGACCUUCGGGCCUCUUGCCAUCGGAUGUGCCCAGAUGGGAUUAGCUAGUAGGUGGGGUAAUGGCUCACCUAGGCGACGAUCCCUAGCUGGUCUGAGAGGAUGACCAGCCACACUGGAACUGAGACACGGUCCAG